UACGUAGGGUGCAAGCGUUGUCCGGAAUUAUUGGGCGUAAAGAGCUCGUAGGCGGCUUGUCGCGUCGGCUGUGAAAACCUGGGGCUCAACUCCGGGCCUGCAGUCGAUACGGGCAGACUGGAGUUCGGCAGGGGAGACUGGAAUUCCUGGUGUAGCGGUGAAAUGCGCAGAUAUCAGGAGGAACACCGGUGGCGAAGGCGGGUCUCUGGGCCGAUACUGGCGCUGAGGAGCGAAAGCGUGGGGAGCGAACAGG
RNAcentral lists this ribosomal RNA (253 nucleotides) under uncultured bacterium. Its description in RNAcentral is "partial 16S ribosomal RNA". It matches the Rfam family "Bacterial small subunit ribosomal RNA", at positions 524 to 776 of the family's 1533-position model. The record is from RNAcentral.